AGUGAGCUCGUUGUAUUUUGACAUUCAGGCCUUCCACAUCAGUCUUUGGAUCCACCAUUUACAAGUUGCAUGGAUUGGCCGUGCCGGUGACCAAGAAACUGCAGGUUAGGCUCAGCAUACUACGGCUGAAAUCCGGCAUUCUGUUUGCAGGUUAGAUUAUCGCAUUAUCGGUGCGGAGUUGGUCUGGAGAAGUAAUUCAAUCCGGGCUUCGCAGGUUGAAUGUGGAUCGCUUGCAUUCGGUUUGGACAAUCAGCACCCAGACUCAGCUAAUCCCUCACAAUUACACACCCGUAGGUGAAAGCUUUCGGCUUGUUUGAUGCGUCCUGUGGACGCCACCAGGACUGUAUUGACGGGGAUUGGGGAGCUUGCAUCGCAAGUGGACACUACUGAUAUGGCGGAGCUGCUGUUAUCAGAAUGGGAUGUGUGACAAAAGUGAUGAAUCAUGAACUGAGCGCUGGUGCAGAGUUGCCGCGGUCACCAGUGGUGAUAGUGUUGUGGCACGUGGAUCAUGGAAUAACACUUUGCUGGAUGCCUUCCGGCAAAUAUUCCUUGCAGGUCGGGAGGUUGGAUGCAUCACAGAGCGUUUGUGGUGGUCAGACGAUGAGCGACCUCUCUUGCAGAUUGUUGUCUUUCUUGUAAUGCCGUUGAUGGAGUGAUGCCGCAGACUCUUGAAGCUAUGUCCCAGUUGUACGCUCGGAAAACCUAGUUCCUGAUGCAAUUUUUGUUACAGAGACGCAGUUAGGAUGAAUUAGUGUGCGGGAAGAUGUGUCUACACCUGGGGACCGAGACAAUAUCCGGAGUUUUCCAGAAGCCGGAGAUUACAUUCAGAUCUUAGCUAGUGAGGAGAGAACGAGGAAAUAGGAUCAGGCUUGACAGACCAGAUUGAAGGAGAAGCGCAUGUGAUAGUUGAAGCUACGAGUUGUUCCUGCCGUUGUUGGGGAUGAGACUGAUGUUCUCACUGUAGAGUUGCGGGCGAUGAGGUUAUCUCUGAAGGCGAAUAUUCAGGGUACUGCUGAAGCAGUUAACCAAAUUCUCAUCCUCCCCAGCUAUCCUCGGGUGAAGCCAACAUCGUGCACUUAAGGUAGGGACAGUUUCUCAAUCCGACAUUGAUCUCGUCGUCAGCACAACAACUCUUAUUACUGAAUUUAAUGUGGUCCAUAAGGGAUUUGCAAUAUAGACGGCAAUCCGACCAACAAAACUCAAAGUCUCGAAGCGCCA
This is a non-coding RNA of Physcomitrium patens, 1218 nucleotides long. The record is from RefSeq and is a predicted model, not a curated record. Lineage: Eukaryota; Viridiplantae; Streptophyta; Bryopsida; Funariales; Funariaceae.